Molecule: long non-coding RNA, 1137 nt
Organism: Orbicella faveolata
Lineage: Eukaryota; Metazoa; Cnidaria; Anthozoa; Scleractinia; Merulinidae
Source: RefSeq, a predicted model, not a curated record
CCAAUCAAAAUGCAGGAUUUGCAUUAGUCCACUAGUUGGGUGAUACUAAUGUUAAUUAUAUAUCAGCUUUAAACAGAAGGAAUAUCUUUGACUGAUAGUUGUAUUUUGAUUUCAAGGAAUUGAAGAGGCUGCUGCUGUUUUGUUGUUGCCACGUCUUUUGAGGGAAAAGGGAGGAAGCACAGAAGACUUCAUUAAGAUCUGCACGGAGGAAGAAUCUCUUGACAAUGUGAUCAAGCAGACAAAAUUCCCCAGAAUCAUUGGUUCUGGGGAAUUUUGGGAUUUGGACAUGCUAAGCAUAGCAGUUGAGGGGGAGGUCGUUCUGGACUUGGGGUCCACCUCCAUGGCCGCCACAUUAAGCCUUCUUGUGGCAUGUUAUUAUGUGUUUAACAUAAUGUAUCCUACUAAGUGCUCUAAUGCCUUUUUUUUCUGUGAAGCUGCUUUGCUUGAUAUACACCAAACUGCCAAAAAGCGAGUAGCAGUAAAUAAAUUUAUUUCAGCUCUGAAAAUGUAGGAAGCUUUGUAAGAGGCUGCAUUAUAAAAUACUAUGAAUUAGUUUAUAAUUGUUUAUACAAUAUUUAUUUAAUUAUUUUCUAAAAAUUAUACAGAAACCCUGUAAUAAUUAGUGAUUUUGGACAAAGUAAUACAUAACACGAAUAUAGAUUUCAUAGAAUUAUACUAUAAUUGAUAGGCUAUUUAUGCAAUAGAUAUAUUAUAAAAUUUCUUUCCUGUCAAGAUAGUUAAAUUCAGAAUUGGUCAGGGCUUUGAUAGUGUAGCUUGUUCUUCAUGUAUUGUACCAUGUACCAAGCAAGCAAGUACCCACACAGGUAGAUACAUGCACGGGUACUUUGUAUUUCAUUUUUUCAAUCUCUUUUGGAGUGUUUUGCUAAUAAACCACUUUCAGCAGCUAGAUUUCAUUAAGUUAUAUUUCAGUUGAGACUAUUUAUGCAACAGAUGUAUUUUAUUUAUUUUUUAUUCUCUUUCCUGCAGAAAGAUUUUAUAAGGGUUUCAGAUAGUUGUUAUUAUUUAUGUUUCAUUACUACCAUGAAUGAUAGUGAUAUUGUGAUAAUAAAAAUUGUAAUGGUGAUACUCCAAGGUAAUUUUUGAGUGUUUGGUUAAUAAACCACUAUCAGAAGCAAA